Molecule: ribosomal RNA, 484 nt
Filed under: uncultured bacterium
Lineage: Bacteria
Description: partial 16S ribosomal RNA
Rfam family: Bacterial small subunit ribosomal RNA
Source: RNAcentral
AUUGAACGCUGGCGGCAUGCCUAACACAUGCAAGUCGAGCGGAAGAAGGGAGCUUGCUCCUGGGGUCAGCGGCGGACGGGUGAGUAAUGCCUAGGAAUCUGCCUGGUAGUGGGGGAUAACGUCCGGAAACGGGCGCUAAUACCGCAUACGUCCUGAGGGGGAAAGUGGGGGAUCUUCGGACCUCACGCUAUCAGAUGAGCCUAGGUCGGAUUAGCUAGUUGGUGGGGUAAAGGCCUACCAAGGCGACGAUCCGUAACUGGUCUGAGAGGAUGAUCAGUCACACUGGAACUGAGACACGGUCCAGACUCCUACGGGAGGCAGCAGUGGGGAAUUUUGGACAAUGGGCGAAAGCCUGAUCCAGCCAUGCCGCGUGUGUGAAGAAGGUCUUCGGAUUGUAAAGCACUUUAAGUUGGGAGGAAGGGCAGUAAGUUAAUACCUUGCUGUUUUGACGUUACCAACAGAAUAAGCACCGGCUAACUUCGUG